RNAcentral lists this long non-coding RNA (4922 nucleotides) under Homarus americanus (American lobster). RNAcentral describes it as "uncharacterized LOC121859083, transcript variant X1". Lineage: Eukaryota; Metazoa; Arthropoda; Malacostraca; Decapoda; Nephropidae. The record is from RNAcentral.
AAGUAUUUUAUUUUGAGCACUGCUAUGAGUACUGUGUGAAUUGAAACCUUGUAGUGUUGUCUUUAGAGAUACUUAAUCUGCUGAGUGAGUCACCCAUACUAUUACUGGCUUUAAAUUUUUUUUUUGGUGAGUAUCCAUUUAAAAAGUAUCCGAGGCAUUUAUGUGUUAACGUUUACCUCCUUUGCUCUGGAAGGGUGUUAAUUGAAUUUAUCUUUGGUGGGGUUGUUUUGUAGAAGAUUUGUUGUGACAUCAGCGCACGAUGAUCACAGUAGUUGUGAAUAAGUUACAACUUAUGUGUGAGUUCCGACAAUAUCUUUGUCAGACAUGUCCGUGAACCCCAACAAUAUCUUGAACUUUUCAUUCACCUCGCCCAAGGUCUUGAACCUCUCAUUAAGAGAGGAAAUCACAGUAUCCACUACCACAUUGAAAAAUGUAGUCUCCAUCCUCUUGAGUACAUCGCUGACAGGUUCGUCUGCACACUCAUAGCUAAAGUGACAUUUUUUAGUUCUUAGUCUUCUGUUUCAGCACCGUGUCUACGCUCAUCGCUUCACAGAUUUCUUUAGCAAUAGUUAGUGCAUCAGCAAAACCUGUAUUUCUGUAGCUGACAAUAUCAUCUCUGGUCUUUUUGAGCAGAUCUACAGCCACGCCGAGCUGUAUCGUAGUCGACUGCAUUAGUUUGCUCACGUGCUGAAUUUUGCUGAGUAUAUCAUACCACACAACUGAACAAAUGACAAAACGGUAUGACCCUACUUCCUCUGCCAACGAUUAAGCCUCAACUUUGACGACAGGGUCAGUUGCAGAUUCUCUGUGCUCCAAAAGCGCUUCUUUGAGUUGCGGAGGUUGAUAUCUAAUUGCCUCCACACUUUUUACUCGGCUUUCCCAUCUGACGUCUGACCACGAUUUCAGAGUAAUAUUAACAUGUUUUAAAAGAACUUGCCACCUCUGAGGAGAGGCUGAAAACAAUGUGAAUACUUUCGUUAAAUAUCCAAAGUAACAAGUUGCAUUUAGGGAGCUCUUGGCAGCGUCACCUAAUAUAAAAUUCAAAUUAUGGGCACCACAAGGGACAAAUAAGGGCCGAGAAUUCUGUUGAAGAAGCCUGGCUUGAACUCCUUUGAUGUUUCCUCUCAUAUUUGCUUCAUUGUCGUAGGAUUGACCUCGAUAAUCCUCAAAAGAAAUGUUCAUUUGUUUGUCUUCCGAGUAGAAUUCAUGACAAAUUUAGCCCUGUAGACUUCUCUACCUCAAGGAACCCCAAGGUAGUGUGACUGUGAUUGCCUGCAUUACUUUCAACCCUACUUAAAGUUCCACUUCUUGGAGAAAAUUACCAUUGGAUUGACAGUUAAGUUUUUCGGCUGACCCUCUAGAGCCAAAUUGCUUUCAGCUAGAGACUGAAUAAUCGCCAUUAGUCUAGUGAGGACUUGGCGCCACCCGUUCCACUCAGCCAUUAACAUUUCCAUUUCCCGUCUGUCUAUCGUCCUUCCACUUGCAAUGUUGACCUCCAGUUCCUUCUAUGUUGUCAUGUUUUUUUUAGUGUGUUCUAUGUUACUUUCAUGUGUGCUGAGCAAAUGACUAGUUCUCAGUUGGAGUCAAUUUGUUACCAUUGAAUUUAUUGAGAUAACACAAGUUUGGUGUUAAAUUUUUCAUUGUUGUAUUUUUCAACCUGUUUUUAUUUAACGGAGAAUUUUAUUACAUAGCGCCUUACCAUUUCUUACAGUGUAGACUGAUAUGCAUUGUUGGUAAAGAGGUUAUAUGUAUUUGAGAACUAAUUCCGGUGUAUUUUCAGCCAUAGUAUUGAGUGGGUUGAGGACUCUGUGGUGAAAUGGACAUCUAAGACAUACAAUCUCUGAAAAUGAAUUGCUGGAAGCACCCUCUGUACAUGUAAGGACCACCAAUUGUGAGUAAAGCACAGAGUAAAUUGUGUAGUGUUAACACAGUGUCAAGAUAAUUGAAAAAGACAGUGAAUUCUUGUGAGUACAGAAAAUCCGCUUUGUGUUAAUCAUCCGUGAAAGCUACAGAGUUAUAUUUUCUUGAGACAUUCUCGUCAAGUAUCAUCAAGUAUUUUAUUUUGAGCAUUGCUAUGAGUACUUUGUGAAUUGAAAGUUUGUAUUGUCCUCUUUAGAGAUACUUAAUUUUCUGAGUGAGUCACCGAUACUACUGCCGAUUAUUUAUUUUGCCAUAGUAUUGAGUGGGUUGAGGACUCUGUGGUGAAAUGGACAUCUAAGACAUACAAUCUCUGAAAAUGAAUUGCUGGAAGCACCCUCUGUACAUGUAAGGACCACCAAUUGUGAGUAAAGCACAGAGUAAAUUGUGUAGUGUUAACACAGUGUCAAGAUAAUUGAAAAAGACAGUGAAUUCUUGUGAGUACAGAAAAUCCGCUUUGUGUUAAUCAUCCGUGAAAGCUACAGAGUUAUAUUUUCUUGAGACAUUCUCGUCAAGUAUCAUCAAGUAUUUUAUUUUGAGCAUUGCUAUGAGUACUUUGUGAAUUGAAAGUUUGUAUUGUCCUCUUUAGAGAUACUUAAUUUUCUGAGUGAGUCACCGAUACUACUGCCGAUUAUUUAUUUUGGUGAGUAUCCAUUUAAGAAGUAUCCGAGGCAUUUAUGUGUCAAUGUUUACCCCCUUUGCUCUGGAAGGGUGUUAAUUGAAUUUAUCUUUGGUGGGGUUGUUUUGUAGAAGAUUUGUUGUGACAUCAGCGCACGAUGAUCACAGUAGUUGUGAAUAAGUUACAACUUAUGUGUGAGUUCCGACAAUAUCUUUGUCAGACAUGUCCGUGAACCCCAACAAUACCUUGAACUUUUCAUUCACCUCGCCCAAGGUCUUGAACCUCUCAUUAAGAGAGGAAAUCACAGUAUCCACUACCACAUUGAAAAAUGUAGUCUCCAUCCUCUUGAGUACAUCGCUGACAGGUUCGUCUGCACACUCAUAGCUAAAGUGACAUUUUUUAGUUCUUAGUCUUCUGUUUCAGCACCGUGUCUACGCUCAUCGCUUCACAGAUUUCUUUAGCAAUAGUUAGUGCAUCAGCAAAACCUGUAUUUCUGUAGCUGACAAUAUCAUCUCUGGUCUUUUUGAGCAGAUCUACAGCCACGCCGAGCUGUAUCGUAGUCGACUGCAUUAGUUUGCUCACGUGCUGAAUUUUGCUGAGUAUAUCAUACCACACAACUGAACAAAUGACAAAACGGUAUGACCCUACUUCCUCUGCCAACGAUUAAGCCUCAACUUUGACGACAGGGUCAGUUGCAGAUUCUCUGUGCUCCAAAAGCGCUUCUUUGAGUUGCGGAGGUUGAUAUCUAAUUGCCUCCACACUUUUUACUCGGCUUUCCCAUCUGACGUCUGACCACGAUUUCAGAGUAAUAUUAACAUGUUUUAAAAGAACUUGCCACCUCUGAGGAGAGGCUGAAAACAAUGUGAAUACUUUCGUUAAAUAUCCAAAGUAACAAGUUGCAUUUAGGGAGCUCUUGGCAGCGUCACCUAAUAUAAAAUUCAAAUUAUGGGCACCACAAGGGACAAAUAAGGGCCGAGAAUUCUGUUGAAGAAGCCUGGCUUGAACUCCUUUGAUGUUUCCUCUCAUAUUUGCUUCAUUGUCGUAGGAUUGACCUCGAUAAUCCUCAAAAGAAAUGUUCAUUUGUUUGUCUUCCGAGUAGAAUUCAUGACAAAUUUAGCCCUGUAGACUUCUCUACCUCAAGGAACCCCAAGGUAGUGUGACUGUGAUUGCCUGCAUUACUUUCAACCCUACUUAAAGUUCCACUUCUUGGAGAAAAUUACCAUUGGAUUGACAGUUAAGUUUUUCGGCUGACCCUCUAGAGCCAAAUUGCUUUCAGCUAGAGACUGAAUAAUCGCCAUUAGUCUAGUGAGGACUUGGCGCCACCCGUUCCACUCAGCCAUUAACAUUUCCAUUUCCCGUCUGUCUAUCGUCCUUCCACUUGCAAUGUUGACCUCCAGUUCCUUCUAUGUUGUCAUGUUUUUUUUAGUGUGUUCUAUGUUACUUUCAUGUGUGCUGAGCAAAUGACUAGUUCUCAGUUGGAGUCAAUUUGUUACCAUUGAAUUUAUUGAGAUAACACAAGUUUGGUGUUAAAUUUUUCAUUGUUGUAUUUUUCAACCUGUUUUUAUUUAACGGAGAAUUUUAUUACAUAGCGCCUUACCAUUUCUUACAGUGUAGACUGAUAUGCAUUGUUGGUAAAGAGGUUAUAUGUAUUUGAGAACUAAUUCCGGUGUAUUUUCAGCCAUAGUAUUGAGUGGGUUGAGGACUCUGUGGUGAAAUGGACAUCUAAGACAUACAAUCUCUGAAAAUGAAUUGCUGGAAGCACCCUCUGUACAUGUAAGGACCACCAAUUGUGAGUAAAGCACAGAGUAAAUUGUGUAGUGUUAACACAGUGUCAAGAUAAUUGAAAAAGACAGUGAAUUCUUGUGAGUACAGAAAAUCCGCUUUGUGUUAAUCAUCCGUGAAAGCUACAGAGUUAUAUUUUCUUGAGACAUUCUCGUCAAGUAUCAUCAAGUAUUUUAUUUUGAGCAUUGCUAUGAGUACUUUGUGAAUUGAAAGUUUGUAUUGUCCUCUUUAGAGAUACUUAAUUUUCUGAGUGAGUCACCGAUACUACUGCCGAUUAUUUAUUUUGCCAUAGUAUUGAGUGGGUUGAGGACUCUGUGGUGAAAUGGACAUCUAAGACAUACAAUCUCUGAAAAUGAAUUGCUGGAAGCACCCUCUGUACAUGUAAGGACCACCAAUUGUGAGUAAAGCACAGAGUAAAUUGUGUAGUGUUAACACAGUGUCAAGAUAAUUGAAAAAGACAGUGAAUUCUUGUGAGUACAGAAAAUCCGCUUUGUGUUAAUCAUCCGUGAAAGCUACAGAGUUAUAUUUUCUUGAGACAUUCUCGUCAAGUAUCAUCAAGUAUUUUAUUUUGAGCAUUGCUAUGAGUACUUUGUGAAUUGAAAGU